AGAGUUUGAUCCUGGCUCAGGAUGAACGCUAGCUACAGGCUAACACAUGCAAGUCGAGGGGUAGCAGGGUAGCAAUACCGCUGACGACCGGCGCACGGGUGAGUAACACGUAUCCAACCUUCCCAUAACUCAGGGAUAGCCUUUACGAAAGAAAGAUUAAUACCUGAUAGUACUUUUUCAAGGCAUCUUGAGAAAGUUAAAGAUUUAUUGGUUAUGGAUGGGGAUGCGUUCCAUUAGAUAGUUGGUGAGGUAACGGCUCACCAAGUCUUCGAUGGAUAGGGGUUCUGAGAGGAAGGUCCCCCACAUUGGUACUGAGACACGGACCAAACUCCUACGGGAGGCAGCAGUGAGGAAUAUUGGUCAAUGGGCGAGAGCCUGAACCAGCCAAGUAGCGUGAAGGAUGAAGGUCCUAUGGAUUGUAAACUUCUUUUAUAGUAGAAUAAAGUGAUCCACGUGUGGAUUUUUGUAUGUAUACUAUGAAUAAGGAUCGGCUAACUCCGUGCCAGCCGCUGC
This 513-nucleotide ribosomal RNA is filed under the name uncultured bacterium. Its description in RNAcentral is "bacterial SSU rRNA". It matches the Rfam family "Bacterial small subunit ribosomal RNA", at positions 8 to 518 of the family's 1533-position model. The record is from RNAcentral.